Molecule: ribosomal RNA, 497 nt
Filed under: uncultured bacterium
Lineage: Bacteria
Description: partial 16S ribosomal RNA
Rfam family: Bacterial small subunit ribosomal RNA
Source: RNAcentral
GAUGAACGCUGGCGGCGUGCCUAAUACAUGCAAGUCGAGCGAACGGACGAGAAUCUUUCCUCUCUGAUGUUAGCGGCGGACGGGUGAUUAACACGUGUAUAACCUACCUAUAAGACUGGGAUAACUUCGGGAAAGCGUAUCUAAUACCGGAUAAUAUUUUGAACCGCAUGGUUCAAAAGUGAAAGACGGUCCUGCUGUCACUUAUAGAUGGAUCCACGCUGCAUUAGCUAGUUGGUAAGGUAACGGCUUACCAAGGCAACGAUGCGUAGCCGACCUGAGAGGGUGAUCGGCCACACUGGAACUGAGACACGGUCCAGACUCCUACGGGAGGCAGCAGUAGGGAAUAUUCCGCAAUGGGCGAAAGCCUGACGGAGCAACGCCGCGUGAGUGAUGAAGGUCUUCGGAUCGUAAAACUCUGUUAUUAGGGAAGAACAGAUGUGUAAGUAACUGUGCACAUCUUGACGGUACCUAAUCAGAAAGCAACGGCUAACUACGUG